GAUGAACGCUGGCGGCGUGCCUAAUACAUGCAAGUCGAGCGAACGGACGAGAAGCUUGCUUCUCUGAUGUUAGCGGCGGACGGGUGAGUAACACGUGGAUAACCUACCUAUAAGACUGGGAUAACUUCGGGAAACCGGAGCUAAUACCGGAUAAUAUUUUGAACAGCAUGGUUCAAAAGUGAAAGACGGUCUUGCUGUCACUUAUAGAUGGAUCCGCGCUGCAUUAGCUAGUUGGUAAGGUAACGGCUUACCAAGGCAACGAUGCAUAGCCGACCUGAGAGUGUGAUCGGCCACACUGGAACUGAGACACGGUCCAGACUCCUACGGGAGGCAGCAGUAGGGAAUCUUCCGCAAUGGGCGAAAGCCUUACGGAGCAACGCCGCGUGAGUGAUGAAGGUCUUCGGAUCGUAAAACUCUGUUAUUAGGGAAGAACAUAUGUGUAAGUAACUGUGCACAUCUUGACGGUACCUAAUCAGAAAGCCACGGCUAACUACGUG
This 497-nucleotide ribosomal RNA is filed under the name uncultured bacterium. Its description in RNAcentral is "partial 16S ribosomal RNA". It matches the Rfam family "Bacterial small subunit ribosomal RNA", at positions 28 to 507 of the family's 1533-position model. The record is from RNAcentral.